Molecule: unclassified non-coding RNA, 325 nt
Filed under: soil metagenome
Description: partial contains 5.8S ribosomal RNA, internal transcribed spacer 2, and large subunit ribosomal RNA
Rfam family: 5.8S ribosomal RNA (bases 3-119)
Source: RNAcentral
GAGAAGAACGUAGCGAAAUGCGAUAAGUAAUGUGAAUUGCAGAAUUCAGUGAAUCAUCGAAUCUUUGAACGCACAUUGCGCCCCUUGGUAUUCCGAGGGGCAUGCCUGUUCGAGCGUCAUAUUAACCACUCCCGCUUGCGGGGUCUUGGGCUUCGCCUCCGGGCGGGCCUUAAAAUCAGUGGCGGUGCCGUCGGGCUCUACGCGUAGUAAAUUUUCUCGCGAUAGGGUCCCGGUGGAUGCUUGCCAACAACCCCCAACUUCUUAAGGUUGACCUCGGAUCAGGUAGGGAUACCCGCUGAACUUAAGCAUAUCAAUAAGCGGAGGA